GCAAAUAACGUAUAUGAUGUCAACAUACGCAGUCAAUAGAAGGGGCGGGCUGUGGCUCAGGGCCAUCUCACCAGCCAAUCAGCAACAGCAACUGCGGGUGGGUGUGGUCUGUCCCGGAGGAGGAUGGAGAGCUUUAGCAGGUCCCCUGGAGACCUGCGCCCCAGGCGGGACCCUGGGGAUGAAGAAUUGUUUGGGCAGGCUCUGAACAGAAGAGCAUCACUUUAUUCACCCGUGACAUGGCGAUGGUCCCUCUUCCUAUUUUUCUCAUGGAGUAGGUGUAAAGAUGAGGUUUAUCCAAAUGUCUCCCCACCACUGCCUCAUGGACAGUGAUAAUGGCUUAAAUCACAGACGCCGGAGUCUGACCACCUGGUGAAGUCCCAGCUCUGUUCUUCAUCACAUGUGGCCUUCAGCAGCUGACUUGGCUUCCCCACCUGUAAAAUAGGACUAAAAGCAAUAGCUAGCUCAUUG
Molecule: long non-coding RNA, 468 nt
Filed under: Mustela putorius furo (domestic ferret)
Lineage: Eukaryota; Metazoa; Chordata; Mammalia; Carnivora; Mustelidae
Description: lncRNA (ENSMPUG00000024257.1)
Source: RNAcentral